AACUAUUAGGCUUCGGGGAGUACUGCCAGACUGGAACCGGGAGAGGUAAGAGGUACUACAGGGGUAGGAGUGAAAUCUUGUAAUCCCUGUGGGACCACCUGUGGCGAAGGCGUCUUACCAGAACGGGUUCGACGGUGAGGGACGAAAGCUGGGGGCACGAACCGGAUUAGAUACCCGGGUAGUCCCAGCCGUAAACGAUGCUCGCUAGGUGUCAGGCAUGGCGCGACCGUGUCUGGUGCCGCAGGGAAGCCGCGAAGCGAGCCACCUGGGAAGUACGGCCGCAAGGCUGAAACUUAAAGGAAUUGGCGGGGAGCACAACAACGGGUGGAAGCCUGCGGUUUAAUUGGACUCAACGCCGGACAACUCACCGGGGGCGACAGCAAUAUGUAGGCCAAGCUGAAGACUUUGCCUGAAUCGCUGAGGGGUGGUGCAUGG
Molecule: ribosomal RNA, 435 nt
Filed under: uncultured archaeon
Lineage: Archaea
Description: bacterial SSU rRNA
Rfam family: Archaeal small subunit ribosomal RNA
Source: RNAcentral